UGCAACAGUCUAUAGUAAUCCGAUAAAAUUGGAACGUUAGCAUGGCCCCUGCGCAAGGAUGAUACACACAAAUCGAGAAAUGGUCCAAAAAGAA
RNAcentral lists this small nuclear RNA (94 nucleotides) under Nicotiana sylvestris (wood tobacco). Lineage: Eukaryota; Viridiplantae; Streptophyta; Magnoliopsida; Solanales; Solanaceae. The record is from RNAcentral.